This 22-nucleotide microRNA is filed under the name Mus musculus (house mouse). Its description in RNAcentral is "mmu-miR-3061-3p". The record is from miRBase by way of RNAcentral. Lineage: Eukaryota; Metazoa; Chordata; Mammalia; Rodentia; Muridae.
CUACCUUUGAUAGUCCACUGCC